Molecule: non-coding RNA, 384 nt
Organism: Pogona vitticeps (central bearded dragon)
Lineage: Eukaryota; Metazoa; Chordata; Lepidosauria; Squamata; Agamidae
Source: RefSeq, a predicted model, not a curated record
AUUAUCCACAAGUGAGCAACAAAAGCAAAACGGUUAAGCCAUGGAACACAACCACGGAGACACAGAUGAGGUGCCAGAAAUAAGGCAAGACAAGAAGCAAGAGGGGCUAGACAUGGUGUCAUCAUGAGCUGCUGUCAAAGGAUAGUGUGUUGCUGUGGUUUCUGAAACAGAAUGCAUCCUUUCCUCUCUGUAAGGGGAAGAAACUUGACUCACCCUCAACGAUUGUGAUGUGCAACCAACCCAGCCACAUAUUCAUCUCUGGCCUGCUGUUGACCCUCCACCAAACGCUGCUCCCAAGAGCUCAGCAGGAAGACUCAGUGCCGAAUUACGCCGGUUUGUAAAUGUCAACUGGAAAUUAUUUCUUUUUAAACCACUAAGGGGGCA